UUUAUGGAGAGUUUGAUCCUGGCUCAGGAUGAACGCUGGCGGCGUGCCUAAUACAUGCAAGUCGAGCGAACAGAUAAGGAGCUUGCUCCUUUGACGUUAGCGGCGGACGGGUGAGUAACACGUGGGUAACCUACCUAUAAGACUGGAAUAACUCCGGGAAACCGGGGCUAAUGCCGGAUAACAUGUUGAACCGCAUGGUUCUACAGUGAAAGACGGUCUUGCUGUCACUUAUAGAUGGACCCGCGCCGUAUUAGCUAGUUGGUGGGGUAACGGCCUACCAAGGCGACGAUACGUAGCCGACCUGAGAGGGUGAUCGGCCACACUGGAACUGAGACACGGUCCAGACUCCUACGGGAGGCAGCAGUAGGGAAUCUUCCGCAAUGGGCGAAAGCCUGACGGAGCAACGCCGCGUGAGUGAUGAAGGUCUUCGGAUCGUAAAGCUCUGUUGUUAGGGAAGAACAAAUGUGUAAGUAACUGUGCACAUCUUGACGGUACCUAACCAGAAAGCCACGGCUAACUACGUGCCAGCAGCCGCGGUAAUACGUAGGUGGCAAGCGUUAUCCGGAAUUAUUGGGCGUAAAGCGCGCGUAGGCGGUUUUUUAAGUCUGAUGUGAAAGCCCACGGCUCAACCGUGGAGGGUCAUUGGAAACUGGAAAACUUGAGUGCAGAAGAGGAAAGUGGAAUUCCAUGUGUAGCGGUGAAAUGCGCAGAGAUAUGGAGGAACACCAGUGGCGAAGGCGGCUUUCUGGUCUGCAACUGACGCUGAUGUGCGAAAGCGUGGGGAUCAAACAGGAUUAGAUACCCUGGUAGUCCACGCCGUAAACGAUGAGUGCUAAGUGUUA
This 842-nucleotide ribosomal RNA is filed under the name Staphylococcus pseudintermedius. RNAcentral describes it as "bacterial SSU rRNA". It matches the Rfam family "Bacterial small subunit ribosomal RNA", at positions 1 to 825 of the family's 1533-position model. Lineage: Bacteria; Bacillati; Bacillota; Bacilli; Caryophanales; Staphylococcaceae. The record is from RNAcentral.